CCGUCGCCUACCUCCCGCCCAACAUUAUCAUCAAACCACCGCCCACCUCCCACACCAGCCCCAUUUUUUAUAUUUAUUAAAUUAUUCCACCAAACAGAAUUAAACCGCCCCUCCUCUACGAUUAUACCUCCUACCUCCCCAUAUCUACCUGUUAAAACUCUAUACCACAAACUCCUAUUUUCAACCCACAUACGCCAACACCAUUUACCAAGUAAUGCGAAAUUAAACUCCCGAAUCCUCCGCACUCCUAAGCCUCCAUCCUCCUUUUUGGAACAAAUAGUGUCCCAGUUAAUCCAAGAAAUUUUCCUAACCUCCUCACAACCCCCCAAAAAAAACAAUUAAAAAUAGAUUCAAUAGAGGAAAUGAUACCUGCGGGAGCUUUGAAGAAGGAAAGAAAAUAGACCGGAAGAGAGGACAAGACAGACUU
Molecule: long non-coding RNA, 427 nt
Filed under: Medicago truncatula (barrel medic)
Lineage: Eukaryota; Viridiplantae; Streptophyta; Magnoliopsida; Fabales; Fabaceae
Description: long non-coding RNA (MTRU_LNC000551)
Source: RNAcentral